Molecule: long non-coding RNA, 3451 nt
Organism: Hippopotamus amphibius kiboko
Lineage: Eukaryota; Metazoa; Chordata; Mammalia; Artiodactyla; Hippopotamidae
Exons: 3
Source: RefSeq, a predicted model, not a curated record
CUGGAGGUGGGCCUGGAGGAAGUGAGAAUCGGGAUACGGCCCAGGUUGCUGAAGCUGGGUACCUCUGGUGAGGAAGAUGAGAGAGAGCAAUCUUUCCCUUUCUGUUGGCAUGUGUUCAGACGCUCAACAUAUAAAUUCCAGCAGUUCCUUGUGCUCCCAUGAAUCCUUUUGAGUCUUCUCUAGCAUUCCAUUACAGGAAAAGUUGCCAGUUCACAGAACAUCUGUCAUUGGAUUUAAGGCCCACCCUAAGACCAAGAUGAUCUCAUCUCAAGACCCUUAAACCAGCUGCAGCAAAGACCUUAUUUCCAACUAAGGUCACAUUCACAAGUAUCAGGACUUAGACAUAUCUUUUUAUAGUCACUAUUCAACCCAUUACAACAUGCAAAUAGUACCCAAAAGAGAGCUGGGUAGCUAGACUAAUAGCAGACAAAACUUUAGGACUUCACUAGUGGUGCAAUGGUUAAGAAUCUGCCUGCCAGUGCAGGGGACAUGGGUUUGUUUCCUGGGCCAGGAAGAUCCCACAUGCCGCGCACAGAUCAACUAAGCCCAUGCGCCACAACUACUGAGCUUGUGCUCUAGAGCCCGCGGGCCACAACUACUGAGCCCAUGCGCCUAGAGCCCAUGCUCUGCAACAAGAGAAGCUACCUCAAUGAGAAGCCCACACACUGCAGCAAAGUGUAGCCCCUGCUCACCACAACUAGAGAAAGCCCAUAUACAGCAACAAAGACCCAAUGCAGCCUAAAAAUAAAUUAAUUUAAAAAAUAAAAAUAAAAACUUGAAAUAAAAAAUUGUUACAAGAGACAAAAAAAAGACAUUGUAUAUUGGACUUCCCCUGGUGGCACAGUGAUUAAGAAUCCACCUACCAGGACUUCCUAGGUGGCACAGUGGGUAAGAAUCCGCCUGCCAAUGCAGGGGACACGGGUUCAAUCCCUGUCCCACGAAGAUACCACAUGCUGAAGAGCAACUAAGCCCAUGCACCACAACUACUGAGCCUGCACUCUAAAGCCCAUGAGUCACAACUGUUGAGCCCAUGUGCCGCAACUACUAGAGCCCGUGCUCUGCAACAAGAGAGGCCACUGCAAUGAGAAGCCUGUGCACCACAAUGAAGAGUAGCCCCCGCUCACCGCAACUAGAGAAAGCCAGUGCGCAGCAACGAAGACCCAACACAGCCAAUAAAAAUAAAUAAAUUAAUUAAUUUAAAAAAAAAGAAUCCGCGUGCCCAUUCAGGGGACACAGGUUCAAUCCGUGGUCUGGGAAGAUCCCACAUGCCUCAGAGCAACUAAGCCUGUGCGCCACAGCUACUGAGCCUGUGUGCUGCAACUACUGAAGCCCUCUAGCCUAGAGCCCAUGCUCUGCAACAAGAGAAGCCAUAGCACUGAGAUGCCUGCACACUGCAACGAAGAGCAGCCCCCACUUGCCACAACUAGAGAAAGCCUGCACGCAGCAACAAAGACCCAACACAGCCAAAAAUAAUUUUUAAAAAGACAUCAUAUAUUGAUAAGAAGGUCAGUCCUUCAAGAAGAUAUGAUAAUUAUAAACAUAUAUCCACCUAAAAACAAAGCCCUAAAAUAUAUGAAGCAAAAACUGGCAGAAUUGAAGGGAUAAACAGUUCUACAAUGAUAGUUGAAGACUUCAGUAUGCUAUGUCAGUAAUGGAUGGAACAACCUCACAGAAGAUCAGUAAGGAAAUAUUCAACACUAUGAGCCAACUAGACCUAACAUAUCUAUAGGACACCCAACAACAACAGAAUACUUAUUCUUCUCAACUAAACAUGGAAUAUUCUCCAGGAUGGACCAUAUGUUAAGCCACAAAACAAAUCUCAAUAAAUUUAAAAGACUGAAAUCAUACAGAGUAUCUUAUACAGCCACAAUAGAAUGAAACUAGAAAUUAACAGCAGAAGGAAACUUGGAAAUUUUGUAAAUAUGUGGAAAUUAAACAACACACUCUUAAACAACCUGUGGGUCAAAGAAGAAAUCAAAAGAAAGAUUAGAAAAUAAUUUAAGGGGCUUCCUAGGUGGCGCAGUGGUUAAGAAUCCGCCUGCCAAUGCAGAGGUCAUGGGUUCGAUCCCAGCUCCAGGAAGAUCCCACAUGCUGCGGAGCAACUAAGCCCGUGUGCCAAAAAAAAAAAAAAAAAAAAAGAAAAUAAUUUAAGAUGAAUGAAAAUGAAAACAUGUCAAAACUCAUGGGAAUACAUCAAAAGCAGUGCUCAGAGAGAAAUUUAUAGCUGAAAAUGCUUACAUUAAAAAAGAAGAGAGGACUUACCUGGUGACACAGUGGUUAAGAAUCUGCCUGCCAAUGCAGGAGGCACGGGUUUGAUUCCUGGUCUGGGAAGAUCCCACAUGCCACGGCUCAACUAAGCCCGUGUGCCACAACUAUGGAUCCUGCUCCACAAAGAGAAGCCACCACAAUGAGAAGCCUGCACACUGCAAGGAAGAGUAGCCCCCACUUGCUGCAACUAGAGAAAGUCCGCAUGCAGCAACAAAGACCCAAAUCAAUAAACUAAAAUUAUACUCUAAGGAUCUAGAAAGAGAAAAGCAAGCUAUAUGCAAAGCUAGCAGAAGGAAGGAAAUAAUAAAGAUUAGACCAGAGAUAAAUGAAAUAAAGAAUAGAAAAACAAAAGAACCAGUGAAACCAAAAGUUGACUCUUUGAAAACAACAAAAGGGACAAACUUUUACCUAGAAUGACUAAGAAAAACAGAGAAGAUGUAAAUUACUAAAGUCAGAUUGAAAAUGGGGACCUUACAGAAAUAAAACGGAUUAUUAAAAAAUACUAUGAACAACUGUAUGCCGACAAAUUAGAUAAUCUAAAUGAAAUGGACGAAAUCCUAGAAAAACACAUACUACAAAAACUGACUCAAGGAAAAAUAGAAAAAUUUGAACAGACUUAUAACAAGUAAAAGAUUAAAUCAGACAUUAAAAACCUUCCCCCCAAAAAAGCCUAGGGCCAGAAGGCUCACUGGUGAACUCUACCAAACAUUUAAAGAAUUAACACCAACACUUCUCCAACUCCUCCAAAAAAUAAAAAAAAGGAAGAAGAAUUUCCUAAUUCAUUUGUGACACCAGCAUUACCAAAGCCAGACAAAACCAACACAAAAAAGGAAACUAGAGACCAAUAUUCCUUAUGAAUAUAGGUGAAAAAAAUCUUCAACAAAAUAGUAGCAAACCUAACCCAGCAGCACAGUGAGAGGAGUAUACAUCAUGGGAUUUAUCCUAGAACACAAGGGUGGUUCAACAUAAUGAAAACUAUACCACAUUACCAGAAUGAAAGGGAAAAAAACCACAUAAUCAUCUCAUUUAAUGCAGAAAACGCAUUUGAAAAUAUCCAACGCCUUUUCCUGAUGAAAACUUUCAACAAAUUAGGAGUAGAAGGGAACUUCCUCACCAUGAUAAAGGACAUUUAUAAAAAACUCACUGCUAACAUUCUACUCAGUGGUCAAGGCUGUACUCUUUU